Molecule: long non-coding RNA, 650 nt
Organism: Polistes dominula (European paper wasp)
Lineage: Eukaryota; Metazoa; Arthropoda; Insecta; Hymenoptera; Vespidae
Source: RefSeq, a predicted model, not a curated record
GAAACCGGUUGUAAGACAAUACAUACUUUAUAAGAAUAAAAAAAAUGAAUGAUGGUGUUUGUAUUAAAAUUGUCAUCACUUGCUGCUAUUUAACACAGGAUUCUUCUUCAUUUUCUAACUUUACUAUAACAACAAUGUAUUGAAAUGUUUUGUUCUACGAAAAGAUCUCAAAUUUAGAAUUGUCAGAAUAUCGGAACGUGUCAAGGUGAAAUUACAUUGCAGAAAUAAUGUAUUAUUAAAAAAAAGUUUUUUUAUCUGUAUUUAAAAUGUGAAAUCUGUUGGUAUACUUUAGUUAACGGCCCUACUAAGAAGGAUCGACAAUCGAAUGUUAAUUAGCUUCAAUAUUCCUAUAUUUAUAGUGGGUACGGCGAUUGCGUAUAAGUCGAGGGUGGAUGAUAAGAUAUAUAAGUCGGCAGAGGGAGAGGGAAAAUUUACUUAGAAAUCGAGCAACAGGAUCUUCCUUCCGAUACUCCUUAGAAUCAUUCGUUCGUCAGCUCUUACCUGCAACAAAACUAAAAACAAGGAAAGAAAGAAUAAUUGAAUUAAUAAAAAAGUAACCAAGUGUUGAAGUAUAACGCAAUUAUGAGCCGCAUCUGUAUAAUUAUCCUUAUUGCAGCUUGUGCUUUGUGGACUUUGGGAGAGACUUUAUC